GCAGUGGUGGUUCAGUGGUGGAAUUCUCACCUUCCAUGAGGGAAACCUGGGUUCGAUUCCCAGCUGAUGCU
Molecule: transfer RNA, 71 nt
Filed under: Loxodonta africana (African savanna elephant)
Lineage: Eukaryota; Metazoa; Chordata; Mammalia; Proboscidea; Elephantidae
Rfam family: tRNA
About the family: Transfer RNA (tRNA) molecules are approximately 80 nucleotides in length. Their secondary structure includes four short double-helical elements and three loops (D, anti-codon, and T loops).
Source: Rfam by way of RNAcentral